UUAUAGUUCUCAUGCCCCCUGUUUUAUGUUUUCUUUCAGAGCCUUCCACUUCGGGAGGGGCUCGGGAUCGCGGGAAAGGUUUCGCCUUGAGCUAGCUAGCGAGGGAUUGGCGAUUGGUGGUCCAUCUCUCUUUUGUUUUUUCUUCGGAGAGGUUGUGAGAGUUUUGUACCUUAUUAUAGAGACCACCCUACUGUUGUAUCUUGAGACUUGUGAUGUAUUAGUUUUAUUAUGUUCUAAUGGUUUAGUCUCUUUUUCUUUCCUUUUUAUUUCCGCUUGUUGAUAGAACUUAGCUGCAUACUUGCUCUGAUAUCGUUAGUUAUUGUUUAUUUUAUCUUUCAUAUCACUUUGUUGUAGACGCCUUAUAUGUGCAGGCAUAUGGCGGGUCUGGGCACGCACCGGGCAGGGCCUAUGCCGGGUCCCGGGGCGUGACACACUAGGUCCAAUGUCAUUUCCUUCUAGGUCCACUUGAACCUAGGUUCAAUGUCGCUAUAUUCAUAACCUAGGUUUACUUGACUCUAAGUUCAAUUCUCAACCUAAGUUCAAUAUAUUAGGUUUAAUUGCACCCUUGACCGACCUAUGUUUAUUAACACUAGGUUAAAUGCCACUCAAUCUUUCCUAGGUUCAUGACACUAGGUUCAUAUCAUUCAUGUUCAACCUAUGUUCAAGACACUAGGUUAAAUGCCACUCGAUCUAAAAUAUAUAGAUUGUCCAAUCGAGCCUUACACAUUAGUAUUUUUCCUUUGCCAUGUUCUCUACUCACUCUAGAGUUAACAAUCCAGUCACAUGCACAUAUGCAUUCUAGCAUCUCUAUAUCAUAUCAUAUGCAUUCACUUAGCAUUUCUAUAACAUGCAACAUGCAUCCUCUUUAGCAUUUUACAUUAUGUAAUUAACAUGCAUUCUCUUAGUGUUAACUACAUGCAUCAUCUAGCAUUUCCUCAUUGUAUCAACAUACAUAUUUCAUUGGUAGGUAUCAACAUCAAGCAUAAGAUUCAUGCAUCUACAUUAUCUCUUGCAACCUACCACUACACAUGUAUGCAACAAUAGUAACC
This 1049-nucleotide long non-coding RNA is filed under the name Ananas comosus (pineapple). RNAcentral describes it as "long non-coding RNA (ACOM_LNC037922)". Lineage: Eukaryota; Viridiplantae; Streptophyta; Magnoliopsida; Poales; Bromeliaceae. The record is from RNAcentral.